AAACAUGUCCAAAUACAACAACCACUGAGAAAAAAAAACGUAUACAAACUCAAAAAUGUUCUUAUUAUUAUCAGAUUAUUAUCUGGUAAUACCACGAUCUUUCAAUUUCAUUUUAAAUAUUUUAGCUUAUGGCUUUCCACAUUUUUUACUCCUAACAUUUUUCGCCCAGAUUCGUCCACAGAGAAUUCGCAAGUUACCACAAUCGAAAAUUCGUACAACGGGUUUUUUGUGGACUUUUACGUGGUUUUCCUAU
Cinara cedri is the source of this 253-nucleotide non-coding RNA. The record is from the annotation of a GenBank genome assembly. NCBI's taxonomy places the organism in Eukaryota, Metazoa, Arthropoda, Insecta, Hemiptera, Aphididae.